Molecule: ribosomal RNA, 304 nt
Filed under: uncultured bacterium
Lineage: Bacteria
Description: partial 16S ribosomal RNA
Rfam family: Bacterial small subunit ribosomal RNA
Source: RNAcentral
CAGCAGCAGCCGCGGGAAUACGUAGGUGGCAAGCGUUGUCCGGAAUUAUUGGGCGUAAAGGGCUCGCAGGCGGUUUCUUAAGUCUGAUGUGAAAGCCCCCGGCUCAACCGGGGAGGGUCAUUGGAAACUGGGAAACUUGAGUGCAGAAGAGGAGAGUGGAGUUCCACGUGUAGCGGUGAAAUGCGUAGAGAUGUGGAGGAACACCAGUGGCGAAGGCGACUCUCUGGUCUGUAACUGACGCUGAGGAGCGAAAGCGUGGGGAGCGAACAGGAUUAGAUACCCCAGUAGUCCCUGUCUCUUAUAA